GAUGAACGCUGGCGGCGUGCCUAAUACAUGCAAGUCGAGCGGACGGACGAGAAGCUUGCUUCUCUGUUGUUAGCGGCGGACGGGUGAGUAACACGUGGGUAACCUACUUAUCAGUCUGGUAUACCUUCGGGAAACCGGCGCUAAUAGCGUAUAAUCUUUUGAACCGCAUGGUUCAAGAGUAAAAGACGGUCUUGCAGUCACUUAUAGAUUGAUCCGCGCUGCAUUAGCUAGUUGGUAAGGAAACGGGUUACCAAGGCAACGAUGCAUAGCCGACCUGGGAGGCGGAUCGGCGACACGGGAACUGGGACAGGGUCCAGACGCCUACGGGAGGCAGCAGUAGGCAAUCUGAGGCAAUGGGCGAAAGCCUGACGGAGCAACGGCGCGUGAGUGAUGAAGGUCUUCGGACCGUAAAACUCUGUUAUUAGGGAAGAACAUAUGUGGAAGUAACUGUGCACAUCGUGACGGUACCUAAACAGAAAGCCACGGCUAACUACGUG
RNAcentral lists this ribosomal RNA (497 nucleotides) under uncultured bacterium. Its description in RNAcentral is "partial 16S ribosomal RNA". It matches the Rfam family "Bacterial small subunit ribosomal RNA", at positions 28 to 507 of the family's 1533-position model. The record is from RNAcentral.